This 329-nucleotide unclassified non-coding RNA is filed under the name soil metagenome. RNAcentral describes it as "partial contains 5.8S ribosomal RNA, internal transcribed spacer 2, and large subunit ribosomal RNA". The stretch from base 1 to 120 matches the Rfam family "5.8S ribosomal RNA", at positions 35 to 154 of the family's 154-position model. The record is from RNAcentral.
GAUGAAGAACGUAGCGAAAUGCGAUAAGUAAUGCGAAUUGCAGAAUUCAGUGAGUCAUCGAAUCUUUGAACGCACAUUGCGCCCCCUGGUAUUCCGGGGGGCAUGCCUGUCCGAGCGUCAUUACAACCCUCAAGCUCAGCUUGGUAUUGGGCCCCGCCGACCCGGCGGGCCCUAAAGUCAGUGGCGGUGCCGUCCGGCUCCGAGCGUAGUAAUUCUUCUCGCUCUGGAGGUCCGGUCGUGUGCUCGCCAGCAACCCCCAAUUUUUUUCAGGUUGACCUCGGAUCAGGUAGGGAUACCCGCUGAACUUAAGCAUAUCAAUAAGCGGAGGA